RNAcentral lists this unclassified non-coding RNA (282 nucleotides) under Malassezia globosa. RNAcentral's name for it is "sequence contains 5.8S rRNA gene". Lineage: Eukaryota; Fungi; Basidiomycota; Malasseziomycetes; Malasseziales; Malasseziaceae. The record is from RNAcentral.
CAGACGUACAAUAAGUGUGUCUCUGGCGGCUCGUAUCCACUAUACAUCCAUAAACCCGUGUGCACUGUUAAGGAGUAAGAAAGAAGGGGAGGGAGAGAGUGCAUGUGCUUUGCAUAUAACUCUCUCUCUUUCUCUUCCUUUCUCUCUCUGGUUAAUUACACAAACUCGUAUGGAUGUGUAUGAACGUGAGAUAUAUCGUUGGACCGUCACUGGCCAACAAAUAUAACACAACUUUCAACAACGGAUCCAUGCUUGGUGCAUGUUUUGUGUGGCCUCUGGUGU